AUACGAAGGGGGCUAGCGUUGUUCGGAUUUACUGGGCGUAAAGCGCACGUAGGCGGAUUGUUAAGUUAGGGGUGAAAUCCCAGGGCACAACCCUGGAACUGCCUUUAAUACUGGCAAUCUCGAGUCCGGAAGAGGUGAGUGGAAUUCCGAGUGUAGAGGUGAAAUUCGUAGAUAUUCGGAGGAACACCAGUGGCGAAGGCGGCUCACUGGUCCGGUACUGACGCUGAGGUGCGAAAGCGUGGGGAGCAAACAGGAUGAGAUACCCUGGUAGUCCACGCUGGAAACGAUGGAAGCUAGCCGUCGGCAAGUUUACGUGUCGGUGGCGCAGCUAACGCAUUAAGCGUCCCGCCUGGGGAGUACGGUCGCAAGAUUAAA
RNAcentral lists this ribosomal RNA (375 nucleotides) under uncultured bacterium. Its description in RNAcentral is "bacterial SSU rRNA". It matches the Rfam family "Bacterial small subunit ribosomal RNA", at positions 523 to 898 of the family's 1533-position model. The record is from RNAcentral.